Molecule: ribosomal RNA, 374 nt
Filed under: uncultured organism
Description: partial 16S ribosomal RNA
Rfam family: Bacterial small subunit ribosomal RNA
Source: RNAcentral
GUAGAUGGCAAGCGUUGUCCGGAAUUAUUGGGGCGUAAAGCGCGCGCAGGCGGUUCUUUAAGUCUGAUGUGAAAGCCCACGGGCUCAACCGUGGAGGGUCAUUGGAAACUGGAGAACUUGAGUACAGAAGAGGAAAGCGGAAUUCCACGUGUAGCGGUGAAAUGCGUAGAGAUGUGGAGGAACACCAGUGGCGAAGGCGGCUUUCUGGUCUGUAACUGACGCUGAGGCGCGAAAGCGUGGGGAGCAAACAGGAUUAGAUACCCUGGUAGUCCACGCCGUAAACGAUGAGUGCUAAGUGUUAGGGGGUUUCCGCCCCUUAGUGCUGCAGCUAACGCAUUAAGCACUCCGCCUGGGGAGUACGGCCGCAAAGGCUG